This 1356-nucleotide ribosomal RNA is filed under the name uncultured bacterium. RNAcentral describes it as "bacterial SSU rRNA". It matches the Rfam family "Bacterial small subunit ribosomal RNA", at positions 18 to 1395 of the family's 1533-position model. The record is from RNAcentral.
CCUGGCUCAGGACGAACGCUGGCGGCGCGCCUAACACAUGCAAGUCGAACGAGAGAUGAGGAGCUUGCUCUUCAGAUCGAGUGGCGAACGGGUGAGUAACGCGUGAGGAACCUGCCUCAAAGAGGGGGACAACAGUUGGAAACGACUGCUAAUACCGCAUAAGCCCACGGCUCGGCAUCGAGCAGAGGGAAAAGGAGCAAUCCGCUUUGAGAUGGCCUCGCGUCCGAUUAGCUGGUUGGUGAGGUAACGGCCCACCAAGGCGACGAUCGGUAGCCGGACUGAGAGGUUGAACGGCCACAUUGGGACUGAGACACGGCCCAGACUCCUACGGGAGGCAGCAGUGGGGAAUAUUGCACAAUGGGGGAAACCCUGAUGCAGCGACGCCGCGUGGAGGAAGAAGGUCUUCGGAUUGUAAACUCCUGUUGUUGAGGAAGAUAAUGACGGUACUCAACAAGGAAGUGACGGCUAACUACGUGCCAGCAGCCGCGGUAAAACGUAGGUCACAAGCGUUGUCCGGAAUUACUGGGUGUAAAGGGAGCGCAGGCGGGAGAACAAGUUGGAAGUGAAAUCCAUGGGCUCAACCCAUGAACUGCUUUCAAAACUGUUUUUCUUGAGUAGUGCAGAGGUAGGCGGAAUUCCCGGUGUAGCGGUGGAAUGCGUAGAUAUCGGGAGGAACACCAGUGGCGAAGGCGGCCUACUGGGCACCAACUGACGCUGAGGCUCGAAAGUGUGGGUAGCAAACAGGAUUAGAUACCCUGGUAGUCCACACCGUAAACGAUGAUUACUAGGUGUUGGAGGAUUGACCCCUUCAGUGCCGCAGUUAACACAAUAAGUAAUCCACCUGGGGAGUACGACCGCAAGGUUGAAACUCAAAGGAAUUGACGGGGGCCCGCACAAGCAGUGGAGUAUGUGGUUUAAUUCGACGCAACGCGAAGAACCUUACCAAGUCUUGACAUCCCUUGACGAACAUAGAAAUAUGUUUUCUCUUCGGAGCAAGGAGACAGGUGGUGCAUGGUUGUCGUCAGCUCGUGUCGUGAGAUGUUGGGUUAAGUCCCGCAACGAGCGCAACCCUUAUGGUCAGUUACUACGCAAGAGGACUCUGGCCAGACUGCCGUUGACAAAACGGAGGAAGGUGGGGAUGACGUCAAAUCAUCAUGCCCUUUAUGACUUGGGCUACACACGUACUACAAUGGCGUUAAACAAAGAGAAGCAAGACCGCGAGGUGGAGCAAAACUCAGAAACAACGUCCCAGUUCGGACUGCAGGCUGCAACUCGCCUGCACGAAGUCGGAAUUGCUAGUAAUCGUGGAUCAGCAUGCCACGGUGAAUACGUUCCCGGGCCUUGCACACACCGCCC